This 484-nucleotide ribosomal RNA is filed under the name uncultured bacterium. RNAcentral's name for it is "partial 16S ribosomal RNA". It matches the Rfam family "Bacterial small subunit ribosomal RNA", at positions 30 to 507 of the family's 1533-position model. The record is from RNAcentral.
AUUGAACGCUGGCGGCAGGCCUAACACAUGCAAGUCGAGCGGAUGAAGGGAGCUUGCUCCUGGAUUCAGCGGCGGACGGGUGAGUAAUGCCUAGGAAUCUGCCUGGUAGUGGGGGAUAACGUCCGGAAACGGGCGCUAAUACGGCAUACGUCCUGAGGGAGAAAGUGGGGGAUCUUCGGACCUCACGCUAUCCGAUGAGCCUCCGUCGUAUUAGCUAGUUGGUGGGGUAAAGGCCUACCAAGGCGACGAUCCGUAACUGGCCUGAGAGGCUGAUCAGCGACACUGGAACUGAGACACGGUCCAGACUCCUACGGGAGGCAGCAGUAGGGAAUCUUCGACAAUGGGCGAAAGCCUGAUCCAGCCACGCCGCGUGAGUGAUGAAGGUCUUCGGAUUGUAAAACUCUGUUAUUUGGGAAGAAGGGCAGUGAAUUAAUCCCUUGCUAUCUUGACGUUACCCACACAAUAAGCACCGGCUAACUUCGUG